Non-coding RNA from Pelobates cultripes (western spadefoot toad), 216 nucleotides. The record is from the annotation of a GenBank genome assembly. Lineage: Eukaryota; Metazoa; Chordata; Amphibia; Anura; Pelobatidae.
CCAAAACCAACUUUAAUUUUUGCAGUGCAAAUCAGCAAAAACACAGCAUUAACAGAUGGUAUGUUUGUUUUUAAAUUUAGUUACAUAGGGUGUAAAGUGGGCAUGUCUUGAGGUCACAUAAUCUAAAAUAUAAUGUGCAAUUUUAAGAGAACCAAACUGGCACAAACGAACAUUGUUGUGGCACAAAUCAGCAAAAACAUAGCACAAAUAAAUGGU